UACAGAGGUGGCAAACGUUGUCCGGAAUUACUGGGUGUAAAGGGUCCGCAGGCGGCCUUGUAAGUCAAAGGUGAAAUGUCUCGGCUUAACCGAGUCACUGCCUUUGAAACUGCUAGGCUUGAGUACGGUAGAGGAGAGUGGAAUUCCCAGUGUAGCGGUGAAAUGCGUAGAUAUUGGGAGGAACACCAGUGGCGAAGGCGGCUCUCUGGACCGAUACUGACGCUCAGGGACGAAAGCCAGGGGAGCAAACGGG
This 253-nucleotide ribosomal RNA is filed under the name uncultured bacterium. RNAcentral describes it as "partial 16S ribosomal RNA". It matches the Rfam family "Bacterial small subunit ribosomal RNA", at positions 524 to 776 of the family's 1533-position model. The record is from RNAcentral.